RNAcentral lists this ribosomal RNA (2166 nucleotides) under Damon diadema. RNAcentral describes it as "eukaryotic LSU rRNA". It matches the Rfam family "Eukaryotic large subunit ribosomal RNA", at positions 70 to 1873 of the family's 3401-position model. The record is from RNAcentral. Lineage: Eukaryota; Metazoa; Arthropoda; Arachnida; Amblypygi; Phrynichidae.
AGGGAUUCCCCUAGUAACGGCGAGCGAACGGGGAAGAGCCCAGCGCCGAAUUCCGCGUCCCGAGAGGGCGUCUGGAAAAUGUGGCGUUUACGAGGCUUCCUUCCGAGGGUGCGACGGCGUCGCAAGUCCCCCUGACCGGGGCUGUGACCCAGAGCGGGUGCGAGGCCCGUAGCUGACGCCGUCCCCUUCGGACGAGGCCUCUCGGGAGUCGGGCUGUUUGGGAGUGCAGCCCUAAGAGGGUGGUAAACUCCACCUAAGGCUAAAUACGGCCGUGAGACCGAUAGCAAACAAGUACCGUGAGGGAAAGUUGCAAAGAACUUUGAAGAGAGAGUUCAAGAGUACGUGAAACCGCUCAGAGGCAAACGGGUGGGCCCUCGAAAGCCAGUGGCGGGGGGAUUCAGUCGAGAGGCGGAGAGCCGUGGCCGGUCGAACAGAACGGACCCGCAACAGGCCGGGCCGACCGCCGGAGUCUCGCUGCUCUCUCGACGCACUUCCUCCCGCUCGAUGGACGCCGCAACCGGUUGGACGCAGGCCAUGAGCGCGGACGCGGAAGGUGGCCGGUGGUUGGGCCUUGCGCCCCGCCGCCGGUUGUUGUCCGGUCCGCCGCGAGGCGCUGCGGCCGACCGUGGUACUCGGCCCCGAUUCUUCGGGCCUUGCCGCGCCCUGCACGCGAUGAGCAGCGGGCGGCCGGGCAGGCGUUCCUCCGCGAGAAGUUGCAACGGCCGUCCCGCUCGAGUGGCGGGCGGUCCUCGGAGGUCGCCGUUGGCCCGGCUCGGAGUCACCCCGCGCGGGCGCAGGCGGUUGGCGGCGAGUAGGUCGGUCACCCACCCGACCCGUCUUGAAACACGGACCAAGGAGUCUAACAUGUGCGCGAGUCAUUGGGACUUGCACAGGCCCAAAGGCGCAAUGAAAGUGAAGGGCGGCCCUGGACGCCGUCCGAGUUGGGACCCCGUAGAUGUAUGUUACAGGUGUGCGGGGGCACCAACGACCCGUCCCGUCCGCAUCGUCGGUGGGGCGGAGUGUGAGCGUACACGUUGGGACCCGAAAGAUGGUGAACUAUGCCUGGGCAGGACGAAGCCAGAGGAAACUCUGGUGGAGGUCCGUAGCGAUUCUGACGUGCAAAUCGAUCGUCAGACCCGGGUAUAGGGGCGAAAGACUAAUCGAACCAUCUAGUAGCUGGUUCCCUCCGAAGUUUCCCUCAGGAUAGCUGGCGCUCGAACGGGAAUCAGUCUCAUCCGGUAAAGCGAAUGAUUAGAGGCCUUGGGGCCGAAACGACCUCAACCUAUUCUCAAACUUUAAAUGGGUGAGAAGUCCGGCUUGCACGAGUGAAGCUCGGACGAUGCAGGAUGAGAGUGCCCAGUGGGCCACUUUUGGUAAGCAGAACUGGCGCUGUGGGAUGAACCAAACGCCGGGUUACGGCGCCCGAUGCGAGACGCUCACGAGAGCCCAUGAAAGGUGUUGGUUGCUAUAGACAGCAGGACGGUGGCCAUGGAAGUCGGAACCCGCUAAGGAGUGUGUAACAACUCACCUGCCGAAGCAACUAGCCCUGAAAAUGGAUGGCGCUGCAGCGUCGAGCCCAUACCCGGCCGCCGCGGCAGAGUGUAAUCCGACCGUCGGACGGAUGUUUACGCCGCGGCGAGUAGGAGGGUCGCGGCGGCGAGCGUUGAAGGUGCCGGGCGCGAGCCCGCCUGGAGCCGCCGCCGGUGCAGAUCUUGGUGGUAGUAGCAAAUACUCAAGUGAGAACCUUGAGGACUGAGGUGGAGAAGGGUUCCAUGUGAACAGCAGUUGAACAUGGGUCAGUCGGUCCUAAGGGAUAGGAGAAAUCCGUUCCGAAGCGGGUGUACGUAACGUGUGCUUGCCCGCCGACCGACCGAAAGGGAAUCGGGUUAAUAUUCCCGAACCCGGACGCGGAGAUCGGCCCUUCGGGGCCAGGUGCGGCGACGCAACCGAACUCGGAGACGUCGACGGGAGUCCCGGGAAGAGUUGUCUUUUCUUUGUAAGGGCUCGGCUCCCUGGAAUCGGCUCGUCCGGAGAUAGGGAUGCUGUUCCCGUAAAGCACCGCGGCUCUUGCGGUGUCCGGAGCGCUCCCGUCGGCCCUUGAAAAUCCGAGGGAGGAAAUGAUUUUCGUGCCGGACCGUACCCAUAUCCGCAGCAGGUCUCCAAGGU